UUAGUACAGCGGCGCACGGGUGAGUAACACGUGGAUAACCUGCCUCGAAGUGGGGAAUAACACCGGGAAACCGGUGCUAAUACCGCAUACUCUGACGAGAUCUGUGGAUUUUGUCAGCAAAGGAGCAAUUCGCUUUGAGAGGGGUCCGCGGCUGAUUAGCUAGUUGGUGAGGUAAUGGCUCACCAAGGCCACGAUCAGUAGCCGGUCUGAGAGGACGGUCGGCCACACUGGAACUGAGACACGGUCCAGACUCCUACGGGAGGCAGCAGUGGGGAAUUUUUCGCAAUGGGGGCAACCCUGACGAAGCAACGCCGCGUGGGUGAUGAAGUAUUUCGGUACGUAAAACCCUUUCGACGGGGACGAAACCGCAAGGUUGACGGUACCCGUAGAAGAAGCCCCGGCUAACUCCGUGCCAGCAGCCGCGGUAAUACGUAGGGACCAAGCGUUGUUCGGAUUUACUGGGCGUAAAGGGCGCGUAGGCGGCAUGACAAGUCACUUGUGAAAUCUCCGGGCUUAACUCGGAACGGUCAAGUGAUACUGUCGCGCUAGAGUGCGGAAGGGGCAAUCAGAAUUCUUGGUGUAGCGGUGAAAUGCGUAGAUAUCAAGAGGAAUACCUGAGGUGAAGACGGGUUGCUAGGCCGACACUGACGCUGAAGCGCGAAAGCCAGGGGAGCAAACGGGAUUAGAUACCCCGGUAGUCC
RNAcentral lists this ribosomal RNA (701 nucleotides) under uncultured bacterium. RNAcentral's name for it is "bacterial SSU rRNA". It matches the Rfam family "Bacterial small subunit ribosomal RNA", at positions 87 to 796 of the family's 1533-position model. The record is from RNAcentral.